GGGAGGUUCGCCAAGCGGCCCAAGGCAUCGGUGUUACAUACCGACAUUUCACUGGUUCGAAUCCAGUACCUCCUACCA
Molecule: transfer RNA, 78 nt
Filed under: Brevundimonas phage vB_BpoS-Bambus
Lineage: Duplodnaviria; Heunggongvirae; Uroviricota; Caudoviricetes
Also listed under: 1 other name
Description: tRNA-Val
Rfam family: tRNA
About the family: Transfer RNA (tRNA) molecules are approximately 80 nucleotides in length.
Source: RNAcentral